UGGAUUAGUGGCGAACGGGUGAGUAACACGUGAGUAACCUGCCCUUAACUCUGGGAUAAGCCUGGGAAACUGGGUCUAAUACCGGAUAGGAGCGUCCACCGCAUGGUGGGUGUUGGAAAGAUUUAUCGGUUUUGGAUGGACUCGCGGCCUAUCAGCUUGUUGGUGAGGUAAUGGCCCACCAAGGCGACGACGGGUAGCCGGCCUGAGAGGGUGACCGGCCACACUGGGACUGAGACACGGCCCAG
This 245-nucleotide ribosomal RNA is filed under the name uncultured Actinomycetales bacterium. RNAcentral's name for it is "partial 16S ribosomal RNA". It matches the Rfam family "Bacterial small subunit ribosomal RNA", at positions 88 to 334 of the family's 1533-position model. The record is from RNAcentral. Lineage: Bacteria; Bacillati; Actinomycetota; Actinomycetes; Actinomycetales.